Molecule: non-coding RNA, 72 nt
Organism: Dipodomys ordii (Ord's kangaroo rat)
Lineage: Eukaryota; Metazoa; Chordata; Mammalia; Rodentia; Heteromyidae
Source: Rfam
GGGAAGGUAGCUCAGUGGUAGAGUGCUUGCCUUGCAUGCAUGAGGCCCUGGGUUCAGUUCCUUAGCAUCACA